AACGAACGCUGGCGGCAUGCCUAACACAUGCAAGUCGAACGAUCCCUUCGGGGCUUGUGGCGCACGGGUGCGUAACGCGUGGGAACCUGCCCGUAGGUUAGGUAUAACUCAGAGAAAUUUGAGCUAAUAACGGGUAAUGUCUUCGGACCAAAGAUUUCUCGCCUUUGGAUGGGCCCGCGUUGGAUUAGCUAGCUGGUGGGGUAAAGGCCUAACAAGGCGACGAUCCAUAGCUGGUCUGAGAGGAUGAACAGCCACACUGGGAAUGAGACACGGCCCAGAAUCCUACGGGAGGGAGGAGUGGGGAAUAUUGCAAAAUGGGGGAAAACCCGAUGCAGCCAAGCCGCGGGGAGGAAGAAAGGCUUUGGGUUGUAAAAUCCUUUUUUCCCGGAAGAAAAAGAAGGUACCCGGGAAAAAAGGCCCGGCUAAAUACGUG
This 433-nucleotide ribosomal RNA is filed under the name uncultured bacterium. RNAcentral's name for it is "partial 16S ribosomal RNA". It matches the Rfam family "Bacterial small subunit ribosomal RNA", at positions 29 to 507 of the family's 1533-position model. The record is from RNAcentral.